UACGGGGGGGGCAAGCGUUGUUCGGAAUUACUGGGCGUAAAGGGCGCGUAGGCGGUUUGCUAAGUUGGAUGUGAAAACUCUGGGCUUAACCCAGAGCCUGCAUCCAAAACUGGCAAACUUGAGUACUGGAGGGGAAAGCGGAAUUCCUGGUGUAGCGGUGAAAUGCGCAGAUAUCAGGAGGAACACCGAUGGCGAAGGCAGGUCUCUGGGCCAUAACUGACGCUGAGAAGCGAAAGCAUGGGGAGCGAACAGG
This 253-nucleotide ribosomal RNA is filed under the name uncultured bacterium. RNAcentral's name for it is "partial 16S ribosomal RNA". It matches the Rfam family "Bacterial small subunit ribosomal RNA", at positions 524 to 776 of the family's 1533-position model. The record is from RNAcentral.